GCUCAACCGAGGAAGUGCUUCGAAAACUGGUAAACUUGAGUGCAGAAGAGGAAAGUGGAACUCCAUGUGUAGCGGUGGAAUGCGUAGACAUAUGGAAGAACACCAGUGGCGAAGGCGGCUUUCUGGUCUGUAACUGACGCUGAGAUUCGAAAGCAUGGGUAGCAAACAGGAUUAGAUACCCUGGUAGUCCAUGCCGUAAACGAUGAGUGCUAAGUGUUGGAGGGUUUCCGCCCUUCAGUGCUGCAGCUAACGCAUUAAGCACUCCGCCUGGGGAGUACGAUCGCAAGAUUGAAACUCAAAGGAAUUGACGGGGGCCCGCACAAGCGGUGGAGCAUGUGGUUUAAUUCGAAGCAACGCGAAGAACCUUACCAGGUCUUGACAUACCAUGAAAAGCUUAGAGAUAAGUCUUUCCCUUCGGGGACAUGGAUACAGGUGGUGCAUGGUUGUCGUCAGCUCGUGUCGUGAGAUGUUGGGUUAAGUCCCGCAACGAGCGCAACCCUUAUUAUCAGUUGCCAGCAUUCAGUUGGGCACUCUGGUGAGACUGCCGGUGAUAAACCGGAGGAAGGUGGGGACGACGUCAAAUCAUCAUGCCCCUUAUGACCUGGGCUACACACGUGCUACAAUGGUCGGUACAACG
RNAcentral lists this ribosomal RNA (637 nucleotides) under uncultured bacterium. Its description in RNAcentral is "bacterial SSU rRNA". It matches the Rfam family "Bacterial small subunit ribosomal RNA", at positions 607 to 1244 of the family's 1533-position model. The record is from RNAcentral.